GUGAAUCAUCGAAUUUUUGAACGCAAAUUGCACUCCCUUCGGAGAGUAGGACUGUUUGAGGGUGAGCCUAAAAAAAAUCGACAUAGUUGGUGGUACGCGGUAAUGUUCGUCGGAAAUUGGGUCAUCUUUAAUAUUUGUGUUUAAGAGGCUUAAAAUUUUUUUUACGAUUCGAAGAAUGUUUCUAAGAUUUUAUUUUCUUAUAUGUUUAUGGUAUCGAUCUUUAUUAGAUGUGGCCGUUGCAUCGGAUCUC
RNAcentral lists this unclassified non-coding RNA (250 nucleotides) under Glomus sp. Its description in RNAcentral is "partial contains 5.8S ribosomal RNA and internal transcribed spacer 2". The record is from RNAcentral. Lineage: Eukaryota; Fungi; Glomeromycota; Glomeromycetes; Glomerales; Glomeraceae.